CCCUGAUUUCCACCUCUGAAAUUGUGCUCGGGAAAUGCAAAAUGUGAGGUGGGAAAAGCGCCCCCAUCCUGCCUUGGAUUUCCUGAUUUUAUCCCGAUUUCAGCCCGAUUUUCACCUCUGAAAUUGUGCUCGGGAUGCACGAGACGUGAGGUGGGAAAACUCCCCCUUGCUGCCUCAAAUUUCCUGAUUUUACCCCGAUUUUCACCUCCGAGAUUGUGCUCGGGGUACACAAGAUAUGAGGUGGGGAAAAGCGCCCCCUUUUGCUGCCUCGGAUUUCCUGAUUUUACCCCGAUUUUCACCUCUGAAAUUGUGCUCGGGUACACGAGAUGUGAGGUGGGAAAACUUCCCUUUUCCUGCCUCAAAUUUCCUGAUUUCACCCCAAUUUUCCCCUCUGAAAUUGCGCUCGGGAUACACAAAAUGUGAGGUGGGAAAAUCCUCCAAUUUCCUGAUUUCAUCCCAAUUUUACCCCAAUUUUCCCCUCCAAAAUUGUGAUCAGGAAACACAAAAUAUGAGGUGGGAAAACCCUCCAGUUUCCUGA
RNAcentral lists this long non-coding RNA (538 nucleotides) under Zonotrichia albicollis (white-throated sparrow). RNAcentral's name for it is "lncRNA (ENSZALG00000005338.1)". The record is from RNAcentral. Lineage: Eukaryota; Metazoa; Chordata; Aves; Passeriformes; Passerellidae.